RNAcentral lists this transfer RNA (73 nucleotides) under Cricetulus griseus (Chinese hamster). It matches the Rfam family "tRNA". Rfam says of the family: Transfer RNA (tRNA) molecules are approximately 80 nucleotides in length. Their secondary structure includes four short double-helical elements and three loops (D, anti-codon, and T loops). Lineage: Eukaryota; Metazoa; Chordata; Mammalia; Rodentia; Cricetidae. The record is from Rfam by way of RNAcentral.
AGUGGUGUGACUCAGCCGGUAGAGUGCUUGCCUAGCGUGCAUGAAGCCCUGGGUUCUAUUACCAGUACUGCAU